GACGGUGUUCGUGAGCCGCUUCUCGAUCUCCCUCACGCCCUCGUACCCGCUGGAGAGCAUCCCCUCGUACCACUUGGGGUUGAGCAGCUUGGUGCGCGCGUCCAGCCGCACCGUCUCCGCCAGCGUGCGCACCUGCGCGUUCGCCGUCGUGGUGUCGGCGAUGUAGGAGCCUGGUUUCCGACCGUCCUUGCGCAGGGACUGCACGAGCUUGGUGGGGUCGGAGUCGAAGUAGUGGCUCACGUCGGUGAGGGAGAUCUCCGAGGAGUCGAGGUUCUGGAAGGUGGCGUCGGCGGUGGCGAGGGCCAUCUCGAAGACGCGGCGCUUCUCCAUCAUGCCCACGCCGGGGGCGUCGCAGUCGAAGGCGAAGGACUUGCGGCUCAGGUACAUGUCCUGCAGCUGCUUCUCGUCGUUCCAGGAGGAGUUCUCCACGGCGAGGUUGAUGUUGGAGGAGUAGGACCCCGAGGCGUUGGAGAAGACCCGCGUCGCCGCGUCCCGCACGGUCGUGCCCAGCUCCGCCGCCUGCUGCAGCGCGUGCUUCCGCACGAAGUUCAUCUCCUCCGGCUCGUCCAGCUCCGCCACCAUCU
Molecule: long non-coding RNA, 584 nt
Filed under: Spirodela polyrhiza (greater duckweed)
Lineage: Eukaryota; Viridiplantae; Streptophyta; Magnoliopsida; Alismatales; Araceae
Description: long non-coding RNA (SPOL_LNC001459)
Source: RNAcentral